AACCAUAGAAACCUGCGGAGUACCUGCGGAGGGAUCAUUACAAAUGAUGGCGAACCUCGCGUUUCGCGAGGUCUUGCAUCCAUUUUCGUAUUUAAAACAUCCCACUCUUUAAAAAAAAUAUUUAUCUAAUGAUAAAAAUAAAGAUAACUUUCAACAACGGAUCU
RNAcentral lists this unclassified non-coding RNA (164 nucleotides) under soil metagenome. RNAcentral describes it as "partial contains 5.8S ribosomal RNA, internal transcribed spacer 2, and large subunit ribosomal RNA". The record is from RNAcentral.